RNAcentral lists this ribosomal RNA (476 nucleotides) under uncultured bacterium. Its description in RNAcentral is "bacterial SSU rRNA". It matches the Rfam family "Bacterial small subunit ribosomal RNA", at positions 37 to 507 of the family's 1533-position model. The record is from RNAcentral.
UGGCGGCAGGCUUAACACAUGCGAGUCGAGCGGUAGCAGAUCUAGCUUGCUAGAUGCUGACGAGCGGCGGACGGGUGAGUAACGCGUAGGAACCUGCCCAGUAGUGGGGGAUAGCCCGGGGGAAACUCGGAUUAAUACCGCAUACGCUCUACGGAGGAAAGAGGGGGCUUCGGCUCUCGCUAUUGGAUGGGCCUGCGUGAGAUUAGCUAGUUGGUGAGGUAAUGGCUCACCAAGGCGACGAUCUCUAGCUGGUCUGAGAGGAUGAUCAGCCACACUGGGACUGAGACACGGCCCAGACUCCUACGGGAGGCAGCAGUGGGGAAUAUUGCACAAUGGGCGCAAGCCUGAUGCAGCCAUGCCGCGUGUGUGAAGAAGGCUUUCGGGUUGUAAAGCACUUUCAGUGGGGAGGAAGGCCUCGUAGUUAAUAGCUGCGAGGAUUGACGUUACCCACAGAAGAAGCACCGGCUAACUCCGUG